RNAcentral lists this ribosomal RNA (308 nucleotides) under uncultured bacterium. RNAcentral's name for it is "bacterial SSU rRNA". It matches the Rfam family "Bacterial small subunit ribosomal RNA", at positions 29 to 319 of the family's 1533-position model. The record is from RNAcentral.
AACGAACGCUGGCGGCGUGCCUAACACAUGCAAGUCGUGCGAGAAAGUUCCUUCGGGAGCGAGUAAAGCGGCGCACGGGUGAGUAACACGUAGGUAACCUGCCCCCCAGUCUGGAACAACUAGAGGAAACUCUAGCUAAUGCCGGAUGAGACCACGAUCCCCUUCGGGGGUUGCGGCCAAAGAUGGCCUCUACUUGUAAGCUAUCGCUGAGGGAUGGGCCUGCGGCCAUUAGCUUGUUGGUGAGGUAACGGGCUCACCAAGGCUGUGAUGGCUAGCUGGUCUGAGAGGAUGACCAGCCACACUGGGAC